Molecule: ribosomal RNA, 427 nt
Filed under: uncultured bacterium
Lineage: Bacteria
Description: partial 16S ribosomal RNA
Rfam family: Bacterial small subunit ribosomal RNA
Source: RNAcentral
UGGGGAAUAUUGGACAAUGGGCGAAAGCCUGAUCCAGCCAUGCCGCGUGUGUGAAGAAGGUCUUCGGAUUGUCAAGCACUUUAAGUUGGGAGGAAGGGCAUUAACCUAAUACGUUAGUGUUUUGACGUUACCGACAGAAUAAGCACCGGCUAACUCUGUGCCAGCAGCCGCGGUAAUACAGAGGGUGCAAGCGUUAAUCGGAAUUACUGGGCGUAAAGCGCGCGUAGGUGGUUUGUUAAGUUGGAUGUGAAAUCCCCGGGCUCAACCUGGGAACUGCAUUCAAAACUGACUGACUAGAGUAUGGUAGAGGGUGGUGGAAUUUCCUGUGUAGCGGUGAAAUGCGUAGAUAUAGGAAGGAACACCAGUGGCGAAGGCGACCACCUGGACUAAUACUGACACUGAGGUGCGAAAGCGUGGGGAGCAAACA